This 406-nucleotide ribosomal RNA is filed under the name uncultured bacterium. RNAcentral describes it as "bacterial SSU rRNA". It matches the Rfam family "Bacterial small subunit ribosomal RNA", at positions 29 to 440 of the family's 1533-position model. The record is from RNAcentral.
AAUGAACGCUGGCGGCGUGCUUAACACAUGCAAGUCGAGCGAGAAAGCUUCUUCGGAAGCGAGUAAAGCGGCGGACGAGUGAGUAAUGCGUGAGAACCUACCCUUUAGUGAGGAAUACCCUCGAGAAAUUGAGGCUAAUACUGCAUAAGUCCCUACGGGGAGAAAGGCAACUUCAUGUUGUCGCUAAUGGAUGGGCUUGCGGGCUAUCAGCUAGUUGGUGAGGUAAUGGCUCACCAAGGCUAUGACGGCUAACCGGCCUGAGAGGGUGUACGGUCACGUUGGAACUGAGAUACGGUCCAAACUCCUACGGGAGGCAGCAGUGAGGAAUAUUGCGCAAUGGGCGAAAGCCUGACGCAGCGACGCCGCGUGGAGGAUGAAGGUCUUCGGAUUGUAAACUCCUGUCAAG